This 2015-nucleotide long non-coding RNA is filed under the name Anas platyrhynchos platyrhynchos (common mallard). Its description in RNAcentral is "lncRNA (ENSAPLG00000022672.1)". The record is from RNAcentral. Lineage: Eukaryota; Metazoa; Chordata; Aves; Anseriformes; Anatidae.
CUUUUAACAGUGUGCUUGGUGAUUAACCACUAGUAUCUGGGAAUAAUAAUUGGUCAUGGACAUCCAUCCUAUGGGGUUGAUUAACUAGGAAAAAGCAGCAUAUUUUUUCUUUCUCUUCUACUUUUUUUUCCUCUUUUUUUUUUCCUCUUUUUUUUUUUUUUUUUUUUUUUUUGUCUUUUUCACUGUAAAGCUUUUCCGUGGUAAUUCCACCAUUCAUUACGAUGGAGAAAUUGGCUCCAAACCAAGUACUUCUGCCAAAGCCAUUAUUUCCAUCAUCACACUCUGCAUCAGUCUGUAGUGCAGCCUUGUGGGAAGACAAUGUUCUGUCCCCUUGUGGUUCUUAAGUUAUGGGUAAGGAGCUUACAUAUAUUAAAAGGAGGGUCUUCACUUAGUCUCUUAAUCUUUAUGAGCACUAAUAAUAGUCAACUCUGUUUCCAAAAUUUAGAAACACUUUCUUUUAGAGUAGACGGGUUGCACAUGUUAGAAGAUAAGUCUCAGUUCAAUGAGAUUAGAAGCUAAGUGUUUUUUUCAAAUGCCUACACUUUUUUUUUUUUUUUUUUUUGGUAAGGGCUUUUGUAUCUUUAAUGCAUACACUUUUCCUCCUAUACUUACUUUCUGUAUCUUUAAGAGGAUAAUUGCUGAAUUGAAAUUUGAGAGUGUUAUCUUAAUAACCAAUUACUCAAAUAACUUUGAAAUUGGCUUAAAUUGGCUCGUCAUGCUACAUUUACCUGAAUCUUUUUAUGGGAAAGUUAGGAACAAAAAAAAAAAAAAAAAGAAAAAAAAAAAAAAGAAAAAAAAAUUGGCAGCCUGAUUUGUUUAGCUUUGCUGGAGGUUCCUGGUUGCAGCGGGGAGAGUGGCCCAGCGUGACCCCGGCACAGACCCCCUGCCUGGCCGCCUCCGGUACGGCGGAGGAAUGCAGCGGGAGGCCAGGGCGGCCGGACCCUCGCCCCGCGGGCGCUGCUCUCUCUGGAGGCCUGUACAAACACAGCCUGCUGGUGUGCGGCGGAGAGCAGUGCUAUUGCCCUGUAAGUGUUCAUAUACAGCAGAGUGGUUGGAGAAGUCCUUGAAGACCCUGAUCCAAUGCUCACCAAGGAAAUUUGCUCUCAUGGCAUGGAUAUGGUUUCAAGCCAGGCAGACCCAUCCUGGAGCUUUCCCUGCUUGCUCAAAAGGCUGCUUGAAAUUCUUGCCAUUAACUGUCCAUACCGGUGCUACUUGGUACAGCUCUGUCAUUUCUUCAAGAUGCUUCUGAAGAGCAGUAUAACAAAAUCCUGAUUUUACGAGGACAAUCUGUAUUUGGAAGACUUCAGGGCUGGCUGUGUGGUGCUUGCCCUGCCCAGGUGUCCUGCCUGGUGGCAACAGCUCUGACCAAACUGCAUUUUGGAGCUUCUGGUAUCAGCUAACUCUAGAAACCUUUAUUCAUAAUACUGCCAACAAUAUUUUAGCAUCUUAAACAAUAAUUUUGUGCUUUGUAAUUGACUGUAUCUACAAAAACACGUUUCCUUUCAUAAUAUGCCACUAAGUCACCCAACGACUGACUGACUUAAGAACAAGGUCAGAAGUGCAAUUAUACGUGAAGAUAGGUGCAAGACAGAGAGUCAAUGCACAGGAAGCUCCUCACACAUGCUGGUGCUGCAGGCAGGUAUUAGUUCUUGUGGAAGUGCUGAAAUCCCUGAGGCUGUCAGGGCACUCACGCUGGAGAGGCGCUGAAGUUACGGUGGGAGAAAAACUCCUGAUAUGGUGUUUUGAACCCGUCACAUAUCAGCUUCCUCAGGCUGGUGCACUGCUAUCGUUUUCCAAAUCGGGUACCAAAUAUCAGUACCAAAAUGCCUUAAUUGCUUUCCCAGGGAAGGCAGCAGAAGGUAACCUAGAUAUUCAACUGCACAAAUCUUAUGUUAUCUUUAUUAAAACAAGUUACAAAAUUACCUACAUUGCAUGCAUGGGAAGAUUUUUUGACAUAUUCAGAGAUGAGCAUAUGUUAAAAUAAUCAUCUGGAAAUAAAAAAGCUCAGAAUAUCA